This 309-nucleotide unclassified non-coding RNA is filed under the name plant metagenome. RNAcentral's name for it is "partial contains 5.8S ribosomal RNA, internal transcribed spacer 2, and large subunit ribosomal RNA". The stretch from base 1 to 105 matches the Rfam family "5.8S ribosomal RNA", at positions 50 to 154 of the family's 154-position model. The record is from RNAcentral.
GAAAUGCGAUAAGUAAUGUGAAUUGCAGAAUUCAGUGAAUCAUCGAAUCUUUGAACGCACAUUGCGCCCGCCAGUAUUCUAGCGGGCAUGCCUGUUCGAGCGUCAUUUCAACCAUCAAGCCCCCGGGCUUGUGUUGGGGACCUGCGGCUGCCGCAGGCCCCGAAAACCAGUGGCGGGCUCGCUGUCACACCGGGCGUAGUAGAUUUUUCGUCUCGCCCAGGGCGUGCUGCGGGUUCCGGCCGUUAAAAAGCCUCUCUUUUAACCCAAGGUUGACCUCGGAUCAGGUAGGAAGACCCGCUGAACUUAAGC